Molecule: ribosomal RNA, 253 nt
Filed under: uncultured bacterium
Lineage: Bacteria
Description: partial 16S ribosomal RNA
Rfam family: Bacterial small subunit ribosomal RNA
Source: RNAcentral
UACGUAGGGGGCAAGCGUUGUCCGGAUUUAUUGGGCGUAAAAAGCUCGUAGGCGGCUCGUCCAGUCGGACGUGAAAUCUCCCGGCUUAACUGGGAGAGGUCGUUCGAUACUAGCGGGCUUGAGGCCGGUAGAGGGAAGCGGAAUUCCGGGUGUAGUGGUGGAAUACGUAGAUAUCCGGAGGAACACCAGUGGCGAAGGCGGCUUCCUGGACCGGUUCUGACACUGAGGAGCGAAAGCGUGGGGAGCGAUCCGG